Molecule: long non-coding RNA, 2697 nt
Filed under: Marmota monax (woodchuck)
Lineage: Eukaryota; Metazoa; Chordata; Mammalia; Rodentia; Sciuridae
Source: RNAcentral
AAUAGAGCCACAUAUAAAGUUACAGUACAGAAACCCACCCACAAAAAAAUGGAGUGUCUUGUACACUUGCUGGAGAUGGGUUGCACAUUUGUCUCUCUGAAGUCUGACUGGCUGUGUGAUUCACAAUUUCUUUCACAUUUUUACACUUCCAAUCAUUCAGGGAAAACAUGGUUGCUUCUAUUCCUCUGAUCUGAGAGAAAUCAUUCCUAUGGUGGCAGAACCCCUGCGAUCUCUAUAAAAUGGACCUUAAGGAAAAAUUUAAACGUGAAUGCUGUAUGGCAGGCACAAUCCCAGGGCCAUGAGAGUGAGGCCAAAAGGUAAGAAGACCAGGAGGAAUGAAGCAAAUACUAGGUUUUACAUUUCUGGCCUGGUCACUGCUUCUUCAAAGUGACAAAGCCAUUUGCUUGGCAUGUGGGACUCUUUGGACGGAAUUGAUAGAAAUAUGCUUGGGGAAAACAUCAGAGAGAGAGAUGCAGUGGGAAUUUAUCUAUCUCCUGGCCCCCACUGGUUCAGUUGUGGGGAGUUACCUCCUCCACACUAAGGUGGAGCUGGGAAAAUCAGACCCCAGGCCUUAUAGUUGCUGGAGUCUGGAAGUCGCAGGAGCCAGGGGUGUCAGUUUGAGGUGGAGGAAGCUUGGGCCACAGUGUACUGCGGAGGCAGCUGGGGAGAAUCAGCAGCCAAGAACUAGGGAGACAGGUGAGACUGAGGAAAUCUGAGUUGGCACGUAAAAUGUGUUUAUAUGCUGGUUACAUAAAAAGAACAGUAUAUAAGGUAGCAAAAGAUGUUCCUAAAACAUUGUUAUAGAAUAUUUAAUAUGCUAUAUGAUUGUUUUAUGAGAUAGAGAGCAGAAUGGUUAAUAGUGCUGGUUCUGGGGCUAAAACUGAAUCUAAGUUGGAAUCCAAACUAUAACACUUACAGCUUGUGGGAACUGGGUUAAGUUAUUAGCCCUCACUCCACUUUUUUUCUCACUGCGUAGGGUUAACUGUUCCUUUUCCCUGAAUGGUAAUGAAUGAUAGGAAUUAAUAGAAAGCUUUUCCUCUCCCUACUCUGAACAUUUUAGGGCAUAAUAGUCUCAAAGCCAUUAGGAAGAGCCAAGCAAACUAGGUAUCCAUGCUGGGGGACACAGGUGGUCCAAGUAGGGUGAGGAGGGCAUCCACAGGAGGGGGCAACCCAGUGUGGGUGUCAGAGCCUGAGCCAGAGGAGGGAAAUGUCCAAUGUCGUGGGUGGUCCAGUGUGGAAUCUGGUGCUUGAGGAGGUGAGGUUGGGAGCCAUGCAGGUUGUGUUAGUCAGCUUUUCAUUGCUGUUACCAAAAUACCAAACAAAAACAACUUUGAGGAGGGAAAGUUUAUUUGGCUCUCAGUUUCAGAGAUUUAAUCCAUGGUGGGCUGACUGCAUUGCUCUGUGCCAAGAUAAGGCAGAUCAUCAUGACAAAAAGGCACAUACAAAAUGGCUGCAUACUUCGUGACAAGGUCAGGGGAAGGAGUUGCAGGGAAGACAAAACCUUAACAGUCCUAGUGACCCACCUCCGCCUGCCAUACCCCACCUGGCUGUAGUUACCACACACCCUGUCCAUUCAAACUAGGAUGGACUGAUUAGCUCUCCUAAUCCAAUCCUUUCACCUCUGAAUAGUCUUACUUCAACACAGAAGCUUUGGAGGGACACGUCAUAUCCAAACAGGUCAAGGGGCAGCCUCACUCCCAGCAUUAGAGACCAAGCAGGGUGAGGCAUCCCCCAGGUGGGGAUCUGACAUAGACUGUUGGAGCCUGAGUGGGGCAGAAAGGGUGUCCACACCAGGGUGAAGGGUGUGGCCCCUGUGGUGCUUAAGGGAAGUGAGGAGGAUGCCUAUGCAGAAGGAUGACCUGGCUCAUCCAAUUGGGGUGAGGAGGGCAUGCAGGAGAAGGGCAGUGGCAGGAUGGGAAAUUUGUUACAGGGACACUAAUCAAAGGGGGAAAAAAAAUAUAUAUAUAUAUAUAUUUUUUUUUUAAGAGAAUUAGAACCAAGCAUCUAAAUACCAGAGAAGGGAUAAGCAAACAUGGAAAAAGAGAAAACUAGAAAAACGAUGUUAUGUUGGAUGGGGAUUGAAGAUAUUGGAAUUAACCCAAAGUAUUGGUAUAGAAAAACUCAGAGAUAUGGGUAAGUGUGUGUUAGUAUUAAUUAGAGCCAUCCUAGCGGGUGUAUCUGCUAGAUAUCUUGUGGUUUGAUUUGCAUUUCUCAAAGGUGUAAUGAUGUUAAAUAUCUUUCCAUAUAUUUGUUGGCCAUUAGUACUAUAUUUUCUUUGGAGAAAUAUCCAUUCCAAUCCUGCAUACAUGUUUAUAUAUUCUAUUUUUAGAACACUUGGAUAUACUCCCUAAUUAAAAAUUAAACUAAACAUUUUACAAAAGAAAAGUCAUUUCAUUUGCUGUGGUUCGUUCGCCUAGAUCAGAGUUUUCAACUUCAGUACUACUUUUGGUAAAAUAACUCAUGAUGUGAGUAGUCAUGUGGAUUGGAGCCUGCUUGGCAGCAUCUCUGGUCUAUACCUACUAGCUAUCAGUUGCAACCCCUUUCCCCCAAAGUUAUGACAACCCAAAAUAACAAAUGUCCCAUAGGGGAUACAGUAGUCUACUAGAGAUCAAUUGUUUAUAAACAAACCCCCAGACCUGGUUCACUUAGCAGGAAUUGAGGCUUUGCAAGUUACUUUAUUAAAAAACAAACAACUAA